AACGAACGCUGGCGGCAUGCCUAACACAUGCAAGUCGAACGAGACCUUCGGGUCUAGUGGCGCACGGGUGCGUAACGCGGGGGAACCUGCCCUUAGGUUCGGAAUAACUCCCCGAAAGGGGUGCUAAGACCGGAUAAUGUCUUCGGACCAAAGAUUUAUCGCCUUUGGAUGGGCCCGCGUUGGAUUAGCUAGUUGGUAGGGUAAAAGCCUACCAAGGCGACGAUCCAUAGCUGGUCUGAGAGGAUGAUCAGCCACACUGGGAAUGCGACCCGGCCCAGUCUCCUACGGGAGGCAGCAGUGGGGUAUAUUGGACGAUGGGCGCAAGUCUGAUCCAGCCAUGCCGCGUGAGUGAUGAAGGGCUUAGGGUUGUAAAGCUCUUUUACACGGGAUGAUAAUGACAGUACCGGGAGAAUAAGCUCCGGCUAACUACGUG
This 433-nucleotide ribosomal RNA is filed under the name uncultured bacterium. RNAcentral describes it as "partial 16S ribosomal RNA". It matches the Rfam family "Bacterial small subunit ribosomal RNA", at positions 29 to 507 of the family's 1533-position model. The record is from RNAcentral.